This 253-nucleotide ribosomal RNA is filed under the name uncultured bacterium. RNAcentral describes it as "partial 16S ribosomal RNA". It matches the Rfam family "Bacterial small subunit ribosomal RNA", at positions 524 to 776 of the family's 1533-position model. The record is from RNAcentral.
UACGUAGGGGGCAAGCGUUGUCCGGAAUCAUUGGGCGUAAAGAGCGUGUAGGCGGCUCGGUAAGUCUGCUGUGAAAGUCCAGGGCUCAACCCUGGGAUGCCGGUGGAUACUGUCGAGCUCGAGUCCGGAAGAGGCGAGUGGAAUUCCCGGUGUAGCGGUGAAAUGCGCAGAUAUCGGGAGGAACACCAAUGGCGAAGGCAGCUCGCUGGGACGUUACUGACGCUGAGACGCGAAAGCGUGGGGAGCAAACAGG